UUUGAACGAGUGGCGGACGGGUGAGUAACACGUGGGUAACCUGCCCUUAAGUGGGGGAUAACAUUUGGAAACAGAUGCUAAUACCGCAUAAAUCCAAGAACCGCAUGGUUCUUGGCUGAAAGAUGGCGUAAGCUAUCGCUUUUGGAUGGACCCGCGGCGUAUUAGCUAGUUGGUGAGGUAACGGCUCACCAAGGCAAUGAUACGUAGCCGAACUGAGAGGUUGAUCGGCCACAUUGGGACUGAGACACGGCCCAAACUCCUACGGGAGGCAGCAGUAGGGAAUCUUCCACAAUGGACGCAAGUCUGAUGGAGCAACGCCGCGUGAGUGAAGAAGGCUUUCGGGUCGUAAAACUCUGUUGUUGGAGAAGAAUGGUCGGCAGAGUAACUGUUGUCG
RNAcentral lists this ribosomal RNA (394 nucleotides) under Lacticaseibacillus rhamnosus. RNAcentral describes it as "bacterial SSU rRNA". It matches the Rfam family "Bacterial small subunit ribosomal RNA", at positions 86 to 474 of the family's 1533-position model. The record is from RNAcentral. Lineage: Bacteria; Bacillati; Bacillota; Bacilli; Lactobacillales; Lactobacillaceae.